CGUUAAGGCGGUUGGCAAAGUUGGCUGUGAAAUCUCAGGGCUCAACCCUGAAACUGCGGCCAAUACUGGUCGACUAGAGUGCAAGAGAGGAAGGUGGAAUUCCCGGUGUAGUAGUGAAAUGCGUAGAUAUCGGGAGGAACACCAGUGGCGAAGGCGGCCUUCUGGCUUGUAACUGACGCUGUAGCGCGAAAGCGUGGGGAGCGAACCGGAUUAGAUACCCGGGUAGUCCACGCCCUAAACGUUGUGUACUAGGUGUUGGGCGUAUUGACGCGCUCAGUGCCGCAGCUAACGCAUUAAGUACACCGCCUGGGGAGUACGGUCGCAAGAUUAAA
Molecule: ribosomal RNA, 332 nt
Filed under: uncultured bacterium
Lineage: Bacteria
Description: bacterial SSU rRNA
Rfam family: Bacterial small subunit ribosomal RNA
Source: RNAcentral